Molecule: ribosomal RNA, 497 nt
Filed under: uncultured bacterium
Lineage: Bacteria
Description: partial 16S ribosomal RNA
Rfam family: Bacterial small subunit ribosomal RNA
Source: RNAcentral
GACGAACGCUGGCGGCGUGCCUAAUACAUGCAAGUAGAGCGCUGAAGAGAGGAGCUUGCUCUUCUUGGAUGAGUUGCGAACGGGUGAGUAACGCGUAGGUAACCUGCCUUGUAGCGGGGGAUAACUAUUGGAAACGAUAGCUAAUACCGCAUAACAAUGGAUGACACAUGUCAUUUAUUUGAAAGGGGCAAUUGCUCCACUACAAGAUGGACCUGCGUUGUAUUAGCUAGUAGGUGAGGCAAUGGCUCACCUAGGCGACGAUACAUAGCCGACCUGAGAGGGUGAUAGGCCACACUGGGACUGAGACACGGCCCAGACUCCUACGGGAGGCAGCAGUAGGGAAUCUUCGGCAAUGGGGGCAACCCUGACCGAGCAACGCCGCGUGAGUGAAGAAGGUUGUCGGAUCGUAAAGCUCUGUUGUAAGUCAAGAACGGGUGUGAGAGUGGAAAGUUCACACUGUGACGGUAGCUUACCAGAAAGGGACGGCUAACUACGUG